CCGGUGUACAUUGUCAGAGCAGGUAAAACGGAAGUCUAGGGCUAAAGACGACACAGCAGCUCUCAGGGAGAAGCCAACUUCAGCUCAACAAGAAGAUUAAGAAAUUCUACAGUUUUACUUUCCUUUAUUUUUAAUAUUGAAAUCACAUUUUCAGAAUUUCUUUUUGGUAUAUUGGAGAUUUUUUGUUUUUUUCAAAUGUCAGGAAAUACAACAAUUAUUUUUAUCCAGCCUUCGGUGACUGAAGGACCAGUUUCUUCUGAAGGAACUCCACUUCUUCCUGGCUCCACACCUGAGUUUAAAGACUGCUCCUGUGCAGACUGCUGUGUGGUCUGCUGUGGCUGUGUGAGCCUCAUCGUUCUGAGCAUCCUGGAGAUCUUGUGUUGUCCCUUCACUUUCCUCUGUUCACUCUGUGAUAAUCACUAGGGUCAGUCUACCUGCCCCUCAAGGAGAAUGCAUGUUUUAAGGGAAAAGGAAGAGACAAAACAGUAUUGAGGACAUACUCCAAUACUUGAAGAAGGCAGAUACAAGGGCAGAGGAGAGGGAAGCUGAGGCAAAUGCGAGAGCAGAGGAGCGGGAUGACCGGUUGCUGCAGCAGUCCAACACUGUGCUGAUGGGGCUGAUGGAAAAUGACACACACACAGUUUCACUCCACAUAAUGUACCUAUCUGGAACAACAGAUGUAUUCUUUCCAAAAGAAAAUCUAUCUAUUAUGAGGACUGGGUGAGAAAGGGGAUUUGGUCCAUUUCACAUUUAACAGAUUCUAAAGGGAACCUUAUGAAGAAAUAUAAUUUACAAUGCUCAAAACAGCAAUAUCAUACAGUCAUCAAAGCUCUCCCAUUAGAAUUGUUAAAUCUAGUUGUGGCAUGUUGAGAUAUGAUAAAAUUACACCAAAUUCCCUUUACUCACCAUAGAUGAAUUUGAAUUUAAAGACAAAAACUGCUCAAAUAAAAUAAUAAGGAACAUUAUUACUACCAAAUUGUGUCCUCUCCCAUUAAAAAGAAUCCAUGUACUUAAAGAGUUUCCAGUUAAUAUCAUUGAAAAUUUUUAAAAAUUAGAACAAAUUUUUUUCUCAUUUCCAAUCUCCCCUAAAGCCAAAGAAACUCACUUUAAAAUUUUAAAUGAUAUUUACCCCUGUACAAUUCUUGAAAAAAACAUUUUAAUAUGGAGACCAAUAACUGCACCUUUUGUAACAGUGAAAUAGAAACUGUUGAACAUUUGUUCUUUUAUUGUAGCCGUAUUAGAACGUUUUGGGACUCAUUCCAAAUGUGGAUGGUGGAAUAUGACACAGAUUUACCAAAUGUAACUUAUAAAGAUAUAAAAUACAGAAUAAUUUUGGAAGACAACAAAAAACUGUUCUAUAAUUCUUGUUUAUUACUAGCCAAACAAUAAAACCCUUGUUCAAAAUAUAUCGUCAUGAUUUUU
Molecule: long non-coding RNA, 1422 nt
Organism: Boleophthalmus pectinirostris (great blue-spotted mudskipper)
Lineage: Eukaryota; Metazoa; Chordata; Actinopteri; Gobiiformes; Gobiidae
Exons: 4
Source: RefSeq, a predicted model, not a curated record